UAUUUUGAUUCUGGGGAGUCAUCAGGGGAGAGCAGUGACAGUGAUGAACAACUGAGCGAGGAGGGAGCCCCCUCCGAGCUAAUCUGGAUGAGCUCUCUGAGCUCACUGUUCUUUGUGUGAGGUGGCGCAAAAACAUCUGCCGAGCUGUAACACCUGCUCUAUCUAGUAGAAUUAGGUCUGAAGCAACUGGACUUUUCCCAGUUCAUCUUGGAAACGUUUCCCCAACACAUCCG
Long non-coding RNA from Xenopus tropicalis (tropical clawed frog), 233 nucleotides. RefSeq lists it as uncharacterized. The transcript is spliced from 3 exons. Lineage: Eukaryota; Metazoa; Chordata; Amphibia; Anura; Pipidae. The record is from RefSeq and is a predicted model, not a curated record.